GGGGAAUCUUCCGCAAUGGGCGAAAGCCUGACGGAGCAACGCCGCGUGAGGGAGGAAGGUCUUUGGAUUGUAAACCUCUUUUCUCAAGGAAGAAGUUCUGACGGUACUUGAGGAAUCAGCCUCGGCUAACCCCGUGCCAGCAGCCGCGGUAAUACGGGGGAGGCAAGCGUUAUCCGGAAUUAUUGGGCGUAAAGCGUCCGCAGGUGGUCAGCCAAGUCUGCCGUCAAAUCAGGUUGCUUAACGACCUAAAGGCGGUGGAAACUGGCAGACUAGAGAGCAGUAGGGGUAGCAGGAAUUCCCAGUGUAGCGGUGAAAUGCGUAGAGAUUGGGAAGAACAUCGGUGGCGAAAGCGUGCUACUGGGCUGUAUCUGACACUCAGGGACGAAAGCUAGGGGAGCGAAAGGGAUUAGAUACCCCUGUAGUC
RNAcentral lists this ribosomal RNA (424 nucleotides) under uncultured cyanobacterium. RNAcentral's name for it is "bacterial SSU rRNA". It matches the Rfam family "Bacterial small subunit ribosomal RNA", at positions 356 to 795 of the family's 1533-position model. The record is from RNAcentral. Lineage: Bacteria; Bacillati; Cyanobacteriota.